UUGUUCGUCGCCUCGUCGCUCCGCCUCUCCCCUCCUUUUAUCGAUCAGGCAUUGCACACACGCACUGCCCUGAUUGCAUCUGAAUCUCCCUCCUGCUAGUAGCUUAAUUGCUCUGGUUUGCUUCUACCAUUGAUCGCUCAUCGCUGCCGAUGUUGAAAGGUUCAUGAACAGCCUGCCUGGCUGACUAGCCUGACUACUUGUUUUUUCACGCCGCUGAGUUGUUCGUCGUAUUGCCUAACCGGGAUGGCCUCCGCAAGGACCAUGAUCAGGGCACACGAUGGAGACCAGGUUAAUUCCUAUCCUUCCUCUUGAAUCAGCGUUUAAUUUACAUGUCCGGUUUCACUUUCUUCGGCCAGCCCCGACUCCCCGAGGUUUGCCCGAACGGCCGGACCGACAUCAGAGGAUGAAUCUUGCGCAAGCAUCUACAGUCUGAAUGCAUCCCUUAAGCAAGUUACUGGCACAGCACAGAAGCACACUGUCUAUCGUACCCUGCAUUUGAGGUGGUAAUCCAGUGCAAGAUGGUGGAAAUCCACUGGUUCGAUAGGAGUCGAUGAUGGCUACGUUUUCUAUUAAAGGGGACAGCAUUAGGUCACCAGCCAGUCUAAAGGAGCAUCCAGUUGAUGUAUGUCCAGUGCAUGUACGUCUUCAAUUUAUUGCUAGAUAUGACAUAGUAAUUCCUGAUAGAACCAGACGAAUAUUAGCGAACAAGACGCAUCCUAAAGUUCCAGCUCAUGCUUUUCACCACGCAAGGGUGACCUGAAAUUGCAUAUGAUUCCAAAAGAAGCAUUUUAAUUCCUCUCCUUUCAAAUGGCCAUUCUGUUUAUGUUCCAAGCCACGUUGAGUAACAAACAUGUACGGACAGUCCGUGACAAUUCCUUCUACACUACUGCUGUCCCCAAGCUACAAGAACAACGACGUGAAAGCUCAGGAACAAGAAAAAAAAUGAUUGGCAUCCGUCACGAGCUAUACGUUGAAUUUGCAAUUUCUAAUGUGGUUUGCUGACGCAGGUUUUGCCGGCCAAACCAACGAAAGGCACCGGAUAAGAGUUGCGAGGAAGCGCUCGUGUCUGCAGGCUUCGCAGAAGGAUCGGGCGAAGGAAUUUUUGCCCAGUCCGUACAGCCUUUUCUCUAUCUCCAGGCAAUCCAUCACAUCGGAAAUUCAGUACUCAGUCAGAAGCUACAUUUCACAGUGUCAAAGAAAGAAGCUACCUUCAUUUUAUACAUUUUACUUUUGCUACCUUUGGUCGAGUCAUCCUAUCUCAUACAUGACCGAGACCAAAUGAGCACUACGAGUCCUCCUCUACUGCUCUACACGCGUAUAUCCGGGCACGUAAUCUCGAAACACGUAUUCCGUUGCUUGCUCGAUCGUGCCAUCACGAAGGCGCAGAACUCUGCUUUCGCUUUGAGACUGGGGAAGAAACAGAGAUGGAUGGGUUUGACCGCGGGGGUUGGAGGAAGGAAGGCGCAAGGCACGGAACGAUGCAUGGGGUUCAACGUUUGACCCGGGUGGGGAUUAGAACGAGGAUAAAGAACUAAGGG
Molecule: RNA transcript, 1538 nt
Organism: Brachypodium distachyon (stiff brome)
Lineage: Eukaryota; Viridiplantae; Streptophyta; Magnoliopsida; Poales; Poaceae
Exons: 5
Source: RefSeq, a predicted model, not a curated record